UACGGAGGGGGCUAGCGUUGUUCGGAAUUACUGGGCGUAAAGCGUGCGUAGACGGUUAUGUAAGUCGGGUGUGAAAGCCCCGGGCUCAACCUGGGAAUGGCAUUUGGGACUGCAAGGCUCGAGUGCGGCAGAGGAGACUGGAAUUCCUGGUGUAGCAGUGAAAUGCGUAGAUAUCAGGAGGAACACCGAUGGCGAAGGCAGGUCUCUGGGCUGACACUGACGCUCAUGCACGAAAGCGUGGGGAGCAAACAGG
This 253-nucleotide ribosomal RNA is filed under the name uncultured bacterium. Its description in RNAcentral is "partial 16S ribosomal RNA". It matches the Rfam family "Bacterial small subunit ribosomal RNA", at positions 524 to 776 of the family's 1533-position model. The record is from RNAcentral.